This 92-nucleotide small nucleolar RNA is filed under the name Paxillus rubicundulus Ve08.2h10. The record is from RNAcentral. Lineage: Eukaryota; Fungi; Basidiomycota; Agaricomycetes; Boletales; Paxillaceae.
AUUCUAUGAUGAAUCCUUAAAUUCAGUUCUGCUUCCGAAAGAGAGCGAUCUCUUGUGGACAACCUUACAUACCAAAAACAUAACCCUGAUCA